ACAGUGGAGAGUUUGAUCCUGGCUCAGGAUGAACGCUGGCUACAGGCUUAACACAUGCAAGUCGAGGGGAAACGGCAUUGAGUGCUUGCACUGAAUGGACGUCGACCGGCGCACGGGUGAGUAACGCGUAUCCAACCUUCCCGUUACUGCGGGAUAACCUGCCGAAAGGCAGACUAAUACCGCAUGUUCUUCGAUGACGGCAUCAGAUUCGAAGCAAAGAUCCGUCGGUAACGGAGGGGGAUGCGUCUGAUUAGCUAGUUGGCGGGGCGACGGCCCACCAAGGCGACGAUCAGUAGGGGUUCUGAGAGGAAGGUCCCCCACAUUGGAACUGAGACACGGUCCAAACUCCUACGGGAGGCAGCAGUGAGGAAUAUUGGUCAAUGGGCGGAAGCCUGAACCAGCCAAGUAGCGUGCAGGAUGACGGCCCUACGGGUUGUAAACUGCUUUUAUGCGGGGAUAAAGUGAGGGACGCGUCCCUUUUUGCAGGUACCGCAUGAAUAAGGACCGGCUAAUUCCGUGCCAGCAGCCGCGGUAAUACGGAAGGUCCGGGCGUUAUCCGGAUUUAUUGGGUUUAAAGGGAGCGUAGGCC
RNAcentral lists this ribosomal RNA (589 nucleotides) under Prevotella denticola. RNAcentral describes it as "bacterial SSU rRNA". It matches the Rfam family "Bacterial small subunit ribosomal RNA", at positions 1 to 577 of the family's 1533-position model. Lineage: Bacteria; Pseudomonadati; Bacteroidota; Bacteroidia; Bacteroidales; Prevotellaceae. The record is from RNAcentral.